RNAcentral lists this ribosomal RNA (468 nucleotides) under uncultured bacterium. Its description in RNAcentral is "partial 16S ribosomal RNA". It matches the Rfam family "Bacterial small subunit ribosomal RNA", at positions 28 to 507 of the family's 1533-position model. The record is from RNAcentral.
GACGAACGCUGGCGGCGUGCUUAACACAUGCAAGUCGAACGGAAAGGCCCUGCUUUUGUGGGGUUCUCGAGUGGCGAACGUGUGAGUAACACGUGAGUAACCUGCCCUUGACUUUGGUAUAACUUCAGGAAACUGGGGCUAAUACCGGAUAGGAUCUCCUGCUUCAUGGUGGGGGUUGGAUAGUUUCGGCGGUUGGGGAUGGACUCGCGGCUUAUCAGCUUGUUGGUGGGGUAGUGGCUUACCAAGGCUUUGACGGGUAGCCGGCCUGAGAGGGUGACCGGACAAAAUGGGACUGAGAGACGGCACAGAGUCGUACGGGAGGCAGCAGUGGGGAAUAUUGCAAAAUGGGAGGAAGCCUGAUGCAGCAACGCCGCGUGCGGGAUGACGGCCUUCGGGUUGUAAACCGAUGUCGCCUGUGACGAAGAGUGAGUGACGGUAAUGGGUAAAGAAGCACCGGCUAACUACGUG